Long non-coding RNA from Pseudoliparis swirei, 1943 nucleotides. RefSeq lists it as uncharacterized. NCBI's taxonomy places the organism in Eukaryota, Metazoa, Chordata, Actinopteri, Perciformes, Liparidae. The transcript has 2 exons. The record is from RefSeq and is a predicted model, not a curated record.
UCUUCAACUUAAUUUAGUGAGAUUUCAUAGUCAUCUUGCAGUUCUGCAACCGUGGCAGGCGACAUGUUAUUUUUGGCGAGCUAAUGUUUGUUUUUACAUGUCUUUGAAGGCGGUUGUUGCUGCGUGGCAGGCUGGCUGCGAGAGUCUCCUAACUGGCCGCUUGGUCCCACAGCUUGUCGAUGCUGAAGAAAAUAGAACCAGUUGCCAACCAAGCGGUCGGCACCCGACGUUUCGCUCUGCGCGUCGCCGUACGGUCGCCGAGGAUCCGCAUUUAAAGUUUAAUUCGCGGGGUAUUGACUCCUGCGGCCGCCUGGGUUUUGGCGUUGGUUUGUUUGUACGUUAAUGGUACAAAUUGUUGGCCGUAGACUUGGGUGGCUAACGCCAACUAACGUUAGCUCCAUAACCCGAACUCGUGCGACGACAGCUGUCAUUGGAGAAAGGAAAGUGAUCCCCGCAAAUGCGCGUGCAGCCGACGUGGGGUUCUGUUGGAUUUACAUCGUCCGCCUCCCCAUCAAAUGGGCAAAGUUGGGAAUAACAUUGCAACGUUGGAAUAUCAUGAUAUGCGUGAAGCAUUUGUGAGAGCUGCGGUGUUGCUUCAUUGGAGAGGCUAGCUAACUCCAUUAGCUCGCUAGCUAGCGGGGGGGAUAAAAGUGCGACGUUUCAUCCCCAGUAUUUUGGAUAUGAAGAGGAUAAUUCGCUACUCAUAGGCGCUGGAAGGACAUCUGGCUGUGGCAUCUCUGUCGUAUGCUUGGUGGUCUAAUCAAACUCGAUGGACAUUGGACAACUAUUUGAUUCAAACUAUGCGUCAACACAACGGAAGUCGGAUAUUAUUCUUUGGAUACACUUAAAACAUUAAAUCCACUACGGCAUCACCAUCAGAUUGUGUCAAUUAGCGAAACUAAAGACACUUUACAACACAAAUUACACAUUGCUUUGAAAUGGCAUCCCUUCCAAGGAGGCGUGGGCAUCGUCAUGGCUGAUUUAGAUUCUUGGAAAAACCUGUGAACAAGUCAGAAUAAGAUGUGUUUUUCCUGUUAUUUCUACUCUGAAGAAUUGUCUGUAAUGUUUGAACGCAGCAUUAGUACUAAAUAUUCCAAAAGCAGGGUGACUUUUGGAGAUGUGCCACAGUUAUACUGGGUGAAAAGAAAGCGAUGCGUUUCUCCAGUUUUUAUAGAAUCGGUGUCUAAAAUUCAAAGGCAUUUGUUUUGAGUAAAGGGUUUGGGUUUGUUUCUUUGAAUCAGAAUAACUCGUUCAUUUGCGACGCUUCAAUCAUUUGGGGUAAUAAAACUCAAGUAUCACCAAUCGGUGUCACGGAUCGGAUCGGCACAAAAUAAAAAAGGGAACAAAUGUAACUUUUAGAGAUCCCAAUGACACUUUUUUGCCGAUAACAAUUGUCAAUCAUUGAUGAUCCAUAUUGACAGAUACCGAUGCUUUUGUUGUUUUGUUAUAGCAGCCGGUCUACAAGGCUCUAGACCAGGGGUGUCAAACUCAUUUUCACCGUGGGCCACAUCAGCAUCAUGGCCGCCCUCUUAAAGGGCCGGAAACACUUUAUAAACUCCUUGACCAUAUUGUUAAAUUACUCUCUUUGCAUUUGAUUAUUGUUUAUUUGAGUGUUGACAUAUUGUUCAUAGGAAAAUGUCUCUAAUAUUACAACAUGAAUCCAUUUAAUUUGAAACCUUCAAAAUAAAAGCACGGGACAUUGUUCUUUAAUUUCUUUAAGAAAAAGGGAUCACAUGUCUUUCAAGCCGUUAAGGGCCACAUAAAAUGAUGCGGUGGGCUGGAUUUGGCCCGCGGGCCUUGUGUUUGACACCUGUGCUCCAGACAAUCUGAAGUCAAUGUAAACCAUUACCAUUUCUAAAUGUUAUCCUUUUGUAAUAUUCUCCUAUAGUGGUUUUUGCGUAACUCAAAAUUCAAACGAGCAAAUAAAAGAUUGUAUUUGGCAA